UACGUAGGGAGCAAGCGUUGUCCGGAAUCAUUGGGCGUAAAGCGCGCGUAGGCGGCCCUGUAAGUCCGUUGUGAAAGUCAAAGGCUCAACCUUUGAAAGCCGAUGGAUACUGCAGGGCUGGAGUCCGGAAGAGGCGAGUGGAAUUCCUGGUGUAGCGGUGGAAUGCGCAGAUAUCGGGAAGAACACCCGUGGCGAAGGCGGCUCUCUGGGACGGUACUGACGCUGAGACGCGAAAGCGUGGGGAGCGAACAGG
This 253-nucleotide ribosomal RNA is filed under the name uncultured bacterium. RNAcentral's name for it is "partial 16S ribosomal RNA". It matches the Rfam family "Bacterial small subunit ribosomal RNA", at positions 524 to 776 of the family's 1533-position model. The record is from RNAcentral.